ACGCUCGACACCUACGGGGGCAGCAGUGGGGAAUAUUGCACAAUGGGGGAAACCCUGAUGCAGCGACGCCGCGUGAGCGAAGAAGUAUUUCGGUAUGUAAGGCUCUAUCAGCAGGGAAGAAACUGACGGUACCUGACUAAGAAGCACCGGCUAAAUACGUGCCAGCAGCCGCAGUAAUCUGAGCGGGCUGGCAAGGC
This 197-nucleotide ribosomal RNA is filed under the name uncultured bacterium. RNAcentral's name for it is "partial 16S ribosomal RNA". It matches the Rfam family "Bacterial small subunit ribosomal RNA", at positions 328 to 539 of the family's 1533-position model. The record is from RNAcentral.